RNAcentral lists this long non-coding RNA (824 nucleotides) under Daucus carota (carrot). RNAcentral's name for it is "long non-coding RNA (DCAR_LNC006949)". The record is from RNAcentral. Lineage: Eukaryota; Viridiplantae; Streptophyta; Magnoliopsida; Apiales; Apiaceae.
CACAAAACUCAAAAUUAAGCAAAAUCACAGGCAUCGAGUCGAAAGUGGUUGCCAGGCAGAAGAAAAUGUCUAAAGAUUAGUUAUUGACUCAAAGUUAAUCUUAACCUAAAUUCUCCAUUCAUGGUUUUUCUAGACAUGUAACAGCGGGUAUAGUACCACCCCAAACAAAUGUACAGACCAAUCAAAUUGCAUCCAUGACAACUAUUAACACAAUUACCACAGAUCGUUUAUAAAAACUAAAUCAAUAUACAUUUUCAAGGGACACAACAACAAUUCCAAAAAAUAUUAAAAACUUCAAUUAAAGACCAUCCACACAAAUACAUGAAUAUAGUUUCAGGAGGGCUCAUGUAUUUCUCAUUUUACAUAUCACUAAAAGAGACGCAACAUAAAUAAACCUCAAGUUCCAAGAUACCGACUCCAGUAAGAAGACUAAACCCACAAGCAGUAAAAAAUCGAAUAAUUUACCGCCUAAAACAAAGUACAUAUAACUCUUGUUUAAAGCUUGUCUCACCAUUUUUUGAGAGGGCUCUCCGCAAUUGCUCAGGCAUUUAGUCUCACUGUAAAUGUCAGUGAAGAACUCCUGCAAUCAUAAUCAAAUUUGGUUUAUUAAUUACUUGUAACAAUUCAUCGACCAUUGUUUCUUGUAAUUGAGCAUAUAGAACAUAUUCACGACAUACACAAGUAUAAAGAAAAUUUUCUACAGAGGAAUCAUUUGCAACAAGAGAAGCAUAAUUAAGCUGAAGAAUAUAUACCAUAUUUGGUCAGUCUUCAGCUUAAAUUUGGUACCCUGAAUCACAAUCUUUAACAUAAAUGAGCGAUGCAAU